CCAGUCCUAUCUGGAACUCAGAGAUCCACCUGCUCCUGCCUCUGACGUACUGCAAUCAAAGGUUGAAAGUAGGCUUUGAAGUUCGGUCUGUUGUCUGUACCGAAACAAACUUCCUUGAACAUCUGGUGAUAAUGCUGCUUAGGCUGUACUAUGUGGCAUCAGCGACUUCUUUACCCUAACUGCAGGGCAUAAUGCAUUGCUGGGGCUGCAGGUUCUCCGAGGAUGGUGCCCACUGAGACAGCCAGCUCUAGUUCAUUCCCGCG
Apodemus sylvaticus (European woodmouse) is the source of this 263-nucleotide long non-coding RNA. RefSeq lists it as uncharacterized. The transcript is spliced from 3 exons. The record is from RefSeq and is a predicted model, not a curated record. NCBI's taxonomy places the organism in Eukaryota, Metazoa, Chordata, Mammalia, Rodentia, Muridae.